UGAGUAUAUUAUAUAAUAUAUAGUUUUUGUUCAUGAUAUCAACAAGUUCCCCUGGUGCAUAUCUUGGUGGUAGUAGUAAAUAUUCAAAUGAGAACUUUGAAGAGUGAAGUGGGGAAAUGUUCCAUGUGAACAUCACUUGGACAUGGGUUAGUUGAUCGUAAGAGAUGGGGAAUCCUUGUAUCAAGGGUGCACUCUGCAUGAACAUCAAAAGAGAAUUGGGUUAAUAUUCCUGAACCGGGACAUGGUGGUGGAUGACAAUGUUAGGAAAUCUGGAGAUGUCAUCGGGGGCUUGGGAAGAGUUAUCUUUUCUUUUUAAUGACUUUCCCACCUUGAAAUUGGUUCAACCGGAGAUAGGGUCCAACACCUGGAAGAGCACCACAUGUCUUGCAGUGUUUGGUUCCCCUUGGAUGACCAUUGAAAAUAUGGAGAACCGAAUUGAGUACCAUCCAUGCCUGAUCAUACUCAUAUCUGCCUCACAUUUUUCAAUGCCCACUAGGU
Non-coding RNA from Picea glauca (white spruce), 498 nucleotides. The record is from Rfam. NCBI's taxonomy places the organism in Eukaryota, Viridiplantae, Streptophyta, Pinopsida, Pinales, Pinaceae.